UGCAGAAAGUAGUUCAGAUCUCAUGUGGGUGGAGGCAUAUACUUGCUUUUAUUGAAAGACAAAAUGUAUUUUCUUGGGGAAGAGGUACAAAUGGACAGCUUGGGCAUGGGGAGUCAAUUGACCGAAACAUUCCAAAGAUGAUAGAAUCUCUGAGUGCGGUUGGAUCUAGUGGACAACAGAUAGAAUCUUCAAAACUUGACCCAUCUACAGGGAAAGCUUUGGUUUCUCCAAUUGAGAGAUAUGCAGUUGUUCCUGAUGACAAUGUAAGUGUUCUUUCCACAGUCUUCAUUACUGGU
Non-coding RNA from Camellia sinensis, 296 nucleotides. The record is from RefSeq and is a predicted model, not a curated record. NCBI's taxonomy places the organism in Eukaryota, Viridiplantae, Streptophyta, Magnoliopsida, Ericales, Theaceae.